This 3250-nucleotide long non-coding RNA is filed under the name Mus musculus (house mouse). RNAcentral's name for it is "predicted gene 3234". The record is from RNAcentral. Lineage: Eukaryota; Metazoa; Chordata; Mammalia; Rodentia; Muridae.
UUUCUGCGCUCCAAGGUCUUUGUCCUCUCUUUGGCUGCUCAGGCCUUUCCUUCUCCCUUCAAAUCUACUGUCACUGCUUCUGGGAGAUGACCUGGCUUCCCUGCUGCUGCGUGUCCUUCCAGUCUCUCUGUCCCCUUGUCAAUCUAUCUUUGUUUCUGUUUACUCAUUUCUGAUCCCCCCCCCCCCCCAGACUGAGCGUCAAAUCGACACUGACCUGUGAAGACUGUGCUUGGUUUCCUGGCUUUUCACAUUAUUUACUCUUGUCAGUAAGACCCACCAUGCAGACACACAGAGUACAUCCAGACCUGUGGACCCAAGUGACUACAGAACCAGGGGCCAUAGGUGACAUCAUGACAAAGUCCUUCUGGCUCUUCAAGGCUCAACUCGAAUGUCUGCCUCUUCUUUUGGAGGGGAUCCAGGCUUGGGUGAAAAUUUCCUCUCUUAGGGAAAGAAGACAGACUGCUGUGUUUGCCAUAUGCUGCCUCUGCGACAUGGGGAAGGGUGUCACUCUCUUCUGAGCCUCAGUUUCCCUCUGUUUACCUCACACCAUUGUCAGAGCAUUGAAGACCGACAACCUAGCAUUGUUUUGAGGCGAUAUAUUAAAUAUUCAAUGUGAGUUCGUGGUUCAAGAAACAUUCUGAGCCCUCCACACAUGACCAUGGCUUUUUUAGUUCCCUUGGCAUUCUGCUCUGCCAAGAGAUUUCUCACACAUCUGUCUUGAUUAAAAUCUCCCUGAUGGCAGAGCCACAUCUUCUUCAUCUCCGUGACCCUCGAACUUGGCCUCAUGUCUGUCAGACACUUCACCAAACUAGUAUUGAAUGGGGGCAGAAUAAAUAAUGAGACAGACACUUCGACAUCUUGUGAGAUGUUUAAAAGUCUAGAAGACUUUCUGGCCUGUACUACAAGCUUUUGUUUCACUGGCUUGUAGGAUCAUCCAUUACUCAACAGGAAGGAGAAGCGAUUAGCAAGGAAUAUCCUGGGCCACGGGGAGGAACACAGUGAAGAAAUUUAAGGACCAGGGUCAUGUUAAGAUGAAGAAAGAGAGACGUCAAGUGGGAGAGGAAGCUGUCGAACUCAGCUGUGCUCCUACCCCUCAUCACAACCCUCCUGAGAAGUGUUCUCUGCAAGAGUGAGAGAGCCCUGACAUACUUUCAGUGUUGACUGCUCAGGGCAAACACGUCUCUCCUCUGUGUCCUUCUACAUCAGCUUCCGUUGCACUCGUCUGUCUCUGAACUUGCCCUUAGUCACCUUAUGACUUCUGCUUUCCCUGAAUGAGCGUCUCACGAUGCCCCACUCACCCUACUGACCUUUGGCUUAUUUCAAAGGACAAGCAUGUGCUUACAGUUAUCCAUAUAGAGCACUAUGCUAUACAUGCCUCAAACCAUGGAUUUAAACUGCCACAUAUGGCUUUGCACAUAUUUUGAAAUCAGCUCAGAGGUUCCCUACUUUAGCUCUGAGAUGUCAGUCACCAGUGUAAGCCGCUUCUUCUUUCUAUUCUCUCCAUAUUUCUUUCUCUUUUUUCCACAUUAGUUUAUGAAACUGAAAAUCAUCUGUCUUGCUUUAUUGGAGACCAGAAGUGACGUGAGUCGCUGUCCGUGGUGCUGAAGCAACAUUGCUCAUUCUAAAGGCUGGGGAAGGCUAUGGAAAUCCCCACCAAGGAACAUUUUAUAGGUCCAUUUUAUAAUUACCUUUCUAUCCCUAACUAUAUACAAAUCUUGAUAAUUUCACUGUCACAAAAUAAUGCCUCGUGAGACAUGACAUGCACACAUGUGAGUAUUGGAUUUAUAAUAAUUUGAUAAAGUACCCGUUUCUUACAAGUUAGGGAGAAUGGUGGAAAGGCACAUAAUCCCCUGAACUUUUACUUCCGGUGAUGUUUCUGUCUAUGGUUAGAGAGGCCAGAUUGUCCUCAAAGAAGGCAACUUCACAUUAGCUUUCCAAUGACUGUGGAGUGGCUUGGUUUGUAAAGUGCUGCUUGCCACACAACCAAGACCUGAAUUUACUCUUUCAGAAUGCAUGACAAACAAGACAUGUCAAGGUGUAAUUGUAAUCCUAGCUCUGAGGUUAUUGGAACAGGAGGGUACCUGAAUAUUUAUUGGAUGGCAAAUUGGUGAGCUCCAGCUUCAGUAAGAGAGACCUUACCUUCAAAAACUAAGGUGGAGAGUCAGAGAAAGACACUAGACAUUGGCCUCCUGUUUCACACACAUAUGUGUACACAAGCAUGUGAAGUUGCACAUGAAUAUACGCAAAUGCACAUCACAAAUGAACAAAUAACAGCUCUUUAAAAUCGACUUUCCGUUUAUUCUUAGGAGCAGGUAACAGGUUUGAAGGUGUAUAGGGAAUGAACAUCUGUGAGUUUCUGUGUCUUAUUGCCCAAAGCACAAAGGUAGGUGUUUAGUUUAUAGACUUAACUAUUUUCUACUUUGUAUUUUAAGGCAAACAGCUUGUAGCCUUUCCUCUCACGAAGCUGAUAGACUAGUGGGAAUAAAUACACGAAAAUCAACAGGUUUACUUAGAGUGAUAAUUAAAAACAGAAGUGUAUAUGAGGCGCAAAUAAUCCAGAGGAGGGAGUGAUUGGCUCUUUGCAGAAAGGCAAGAAUCCUCCAUAGAGCUGUAAUGAAGGAGGCUCACUAGUACUCCAGACAAACAUGGCAUCGUAGGUGUGCUGGGCAGUUUUUGUCAACUUGACACAAACUAGAGUUCUCUGGAAAGAAGAGUUCCAAAUUGAGGAAUGCCUCCAUUAGAUUGGCCCACAGGCAUAGCUGUGGGGACAUUUUCUCAAUUGAUUGAUGAGGGUGGUGCCAACCACCCACAGAUGGUCCUGAGUUGACUAUAUAAGAAGUCAAGCUGAGCAAGCCAGGAAGUCGUUUUCCUUCCUGACUUCAGGCUCCAGUCUUGAGAGCCUCCCCUGAUUUCCGUCACAAUAGAAUGUAAGAUGGUUAAAGAGUGGGGAUUUCACUAAGAUUCAAAAUGAAUCCCAGAAAGGAAUUUUCACUUAAAGCUAGCUUUUGAUUUACUUAAAACUAAAAGCAUGGGACAUUUGAAGAGAAAAUAUGAAAUAUAGGUACUAGAUUACAGUAAAUUGCAUUUGUAUAAAAAUGUUAGUCUAGCCUACAGUUCAAUAUGGAAGGUGGUUCAGAGGUUAAAAGAGCUCACACACCAGGAAGAUUUACUACACACAUAUCUUUAUGCAGAGGACACAGCCAGCUUCCCAAAUGCAGAGUGACAUUAUUGGGAACGCAAGGAGAAAUUU